RNAcentral lists this ribosomal RNA (262 nucleotides) under uncultured bacterium. RNAcentral describes it as "partial 16S ribosomal RNA". It matches the Rfam family "Bacterial small subunit ribosomal RNA", at positions 94 to 353 of the family's 1533-position model. The record is from RNAcentral.
AGCGGCGGACGGGUGAGUAACGCGUGGGUGACCUGCCCCAUACCGGGGGAGUAACAGCUGGAAACGGCUGCUAAUACCGCAUAAGCGCACAGAGCUGCAUGGCUCAGUGUGAAAAACUCCGGUGGUAUGGGAUGGGCCCGCGCCUGAUUAGGCAGUUGGCGGGGUAACGGCCCACCAAACCGACGAUCAGUAGCCGGCCUGAGAGGGCGACCGGCCACAUUGGGACUGAGACACGGCCCAAACUCCUACGGGAGGCAGCAUG